GCUUCACUGAAAUCAAACUUUCAAGAGUCAUGGUCUUCUUUUUUUGUUUUGUUGUGAUUUUUUGUUUUAUUUUAAAGAAGAUCACAAAAAGAAAGCAGAAAAGGAAAGCCCAAAGACAAAAGAAAGAUAUUUAAACAACGGAGGAGACAUAUUGGAAUCCCUGGAGCUCAUCCUGUCAGAGUAUCCUUCCUAGAAGUCCUGUAUCUCCACCGCCAAAGUUCUCUGGAAGAAAUUACAACUUUAUGAUUCAUGAACACAAAGAGGACAAUCCUUUCACCUAUCUAUCUUAUAAAUGGGAUGGCUCUCUGGGAACAGCUAAACUUGAAAGAAAUUAUGGGAGAAAGUAUGCUUCAACCACAUAGUUGAAGCCACUCUUCAGUUUUUCCACACCAGAGGUCCCAAAGUCAAGCUACAUUCAAAAAGAUAAACAACAAAUUGGAUACCCAAGUUCUGAAGAGCCAGAAAUCCUUUAUAGGGUAGGACAUAUGCAGAUGAAACCCAACUAUUAAAAAAUCUCCUGCAGAAAAAAAUGUUUAUAUAUAUUUAUACACACAUAUAUAUGAUUAUUAAAAAUCAUACUCAUAAUACUUUAAGAAAACACUAUGAGUAUGACUCUGCUGUCAAUUAUACUUUGCCUUUAUUUCUGUAUUUAUGCUAUUAAUUCUUAUCUCUUUAUACCUUUAACUUUUCAUUCCCCCCACCCUAUGACUACAGAGCAAAAUUUUGA
Molecule: long non-coding RNA, 727 nt
Organism: Acinonyx jubatus (cheetah)
Lineage: Eukaryota; Metazoa; Chordata; Mammalia; Carnivora; Felidae
Exons: 4
Source: RefSeq, a predicted model, not a curated record